CUCCAGACUCCUACGGGAGGCAGCAGUGGGGGAUAUUGCACAAUGGGGAAACCCUGAUGCAGCGACGACGCGUGGGUGAAGAAGUAUUUCGGUAUGUAAAGCCCUAUCAGCAGGGAAGAAAGAAGACGGUACCUGACUAAGAAGCCCCGGCUAACUACGUGCCAGCAGCCGCGGUAAUACGUAGGGGGCGAGCGUUAACCGGAAUCACUGGGGGUAAAGGGAGCGUAAGCCGCCGUGGAAGCCAGGCGGGAAAAGCCGGGGGCCCAACCCCGGGACUGCUCUUGGAACUGUGCGGCUAGAGUGCGGGAGGGGCAGGCGGAAUUCCUGGUGUAGCGGUGAAAUGCGUAGAUAUCAGGAGGAACACCGGGGGCGAAGGCGGCCUGCUGGACCGCGGCUGACGUUGAGGCUCGAAAGCGUGGGGAGCGAACAGGAUUAGAUACCCCCGUAA
Molecule: ribosomal RNA, 448 nt
Filed under: uncultured bacterium
Lineage: Bacteria
Description: bacterial SSU rRNA
Rfam family: Bacterial small subunit ribosomal RNA
Source: RNAcentral